Etheostoma cragini (Arkansas darter) is the source of this 264-nucleotide long non-coding RNA. RefSeq lists it as uncharacterized. NCBI's taxonomy places the organism in Eukaryota, Metazoa, Chordata, Actinopteri, Perciformes, Percidae. The record is from RefSeq and is a predicted model, not a curated record. The transcript is spliced from 3 exons.
CGAAACAUCCUGGAGGAGAUGGUCAGCCAAGAAGGUCUUUAGCACGUUUACCAUCAUGCAACGACCACAUGGGUGAUCCACCACUGGGACGCAUCACAGCGAUGCCCAUCCUUGGCUCGAUGCCCGAUGCCAGCACACCUCGCGGGAACCACAGAAAUUUUCCUCCGGACCCAGAGAGUACCACGAACACUCAACUCACACCAUUUGAAUGAGAAGAAUGACCUCUGGCAUUUAUUCUAGAUGACCUGGUUGGGAGAAGAACUA